CGCGAACUUAGGUCAGGCGGGAUUACCCUUGGAUUUUGUGCAUUUCAAUAAGCAGAGAAAAAGAAACUUACAAGGACUCCCUUAGUAUCGGUGAGCAAAUCGGUAAUGACCCAUCCUUAGAAUUAGGCAGCUCUAUUAUUGAACUUGUAGCCUGGAGAAGCAUCCUCAAUGGUGGAUCGGGCCCAAGUCUCCUAGAAGGGGGCGCUAGAGAGAGUGAGAUCUCCUUUAUGUGUGGACCAUUUCGUACCAUGAGGUGCUAUCUAUGAGUUGGGUUGUUUUGGAAUACAACCCAAAUUAGGCGGUGAAUUCCAUCCAAUGGUAAAUACAGGCAAAAAACCGAUCCAAACAAGUACGACGAUGGAAUAAUGAAAAGGACUUUGAAAAGAUAGUCAAAGAGUGCUUGAAGUUAUUGGGAGAGAAGCAUAUUAGGGCCAACAAUGUAACCUGAUAGGAUGUGUAAUGGUUAUGAGCCGGUUCGUUGAUCAAAUAGAGGCAUGGAUGAAAGUGGAUUAGGGGGUCUGCCAAAGCAUAGGCUGUCAAUACGCUCGUGGAAUGCAAUCUUCUAGAUUAUACCAGAUAGCGUACGAUUCUGGCAUGCUGCAAUGUCUACGGGCUCUAGAUGCUAGCCUGUGGGCUACCCAUUUGACCCAUCUUAAAACAUAAACCAAGGAGUCUGACAUGUGUGUGAGUCAACAAAUGAGUAAACCCAUAAGGCAUAAGGAAGAUGAUUGGUAUGAUCCCCUUGAGGGCUUUGCUGCCGACCGACCCUGAUCUUUUGAGAAGGUUUCGAGUGUAAGCAUACCUAUCGGGACCCAAAUGAUGGUGAACCAUGCCUGAGCGGGGUGAAGCUAGGGGAAACUCUAGUAGAGGCCUGCAGUGACAUUGAAGUGCAAGUCAUUCAUCUUGCUUGGGUAUAGGGGUGAAAGACUAAUCAAACCAUCUAGUACCUGGUUCCCUCUGAAGUUUCCCUCAAGAUAGUUGGAGCUUGCGUUCGAGUUCUAUUAGGUAAAGACAAUUAUUAGAGGCCUCUGGGGCGCAAGGCCCUCGACAUAUUCUCAAACUAUAAAUAGGUAGAAUGGUGUGACUGCUUUGUUGAGCCGUGCUACGGAAUCAAGAGCUCCAAGUGGAAUAUUUUUUAUAAGCAAAACUGGCGAUGCGAGAUGAAUCGAAAGCUAGGUUACGAUGCCAAACUGCAUGCAAACCUAGAUCUCACAAAGGGUGUUAGUCAAUUAAGACAACAGGACGAUGGUUAUUGAAGUCGAAAUCUUCCAAGGAGUGUGUAACUACUUACCUGCCGAAUGAACUAUCCCCAAAAAUGGCUGGUGCUUUAGCGCGUGACCUACACCCAACUAUCGGGGCAAGUGCCAGGCCUCGAUGAGUAGAAGGGCGUAGCGGCAACUUCAAUACCUUUAGAACAAGCUCGGGUGGAGCUGUCGUUGCUGCAGAUCAUAGUGGUAGUAGCAAAAUCUUCAAAUAAGAACUUUGAAGGCCAAAUAAAGGAGAGGUUCCAUAUGAAUGAUACAUGUAUAUGGGUUGUCGAUCCUAAUGGUCAGGGUAACCCAUACAUAUAGAGUGUUUCAUGUGUACACGAAAAAAGAUUCGGGACUUGGUAGUCAGUGGUAAUGUUAGGAAGUCCUGAGACCUCAGCUGGAGCCUCGGGAAGAGUUAUUUUUUCUUCUUAACAACCUUCCCACCUUAGAAUCAGCUCAGUCAGAGGUAGGGCUCCAGAAUAUGGAUGAGCACAAUACACUGUGAGGUGUCCGGUGCACUCCCGGAGGCCCUUUAAAAUAUAGAGGACCAAAUGCCUUCCAUGCUCGAUCAUACUCACAACCGCAGUAGGUAUCCAAGGUGAAUAGCCUUUGGUGAAUGGAAUAAUGUAGGUAUGAGAAGUCAACAAAAUAGAUUUGUAACAUUGGGAUAAGGAUUGGCUUUGAGGUCCGGGUAUGGGGGUCCCAUGCAGAACCCAUCAGCUACUGGUGGACUUCUUAAGCUGCUCCCGUAGUGAGGGCGAGUUACCACACGCCGGUCAGGGGACCAACUGGGAAGAUUUCCUUUAAGGGCCUUCACCACAUGUCGAACAACCAACUCAUAAAGUGUAUGGAAAGGGGAAUCCGACUGUAUAAUUAAAAAAAAGCAUUGUGAUGGUACCAAUGGAUGCUCAUGCAAUGUGAUUUCAUCACAGUGCUCUGAAUGUCACAGUAAUGAAAUUUAACAAUGCACGACUGAAUGGAAAGGGUAACUAUGAAUCUCAUAAGUUAGACAAAUAUCUCGCCAUCUAAUUAGUGACGCGCAUGAAUGGAUUUAUGAUAUUCUCCCUGUCCCUGUCUACUAUCCAACAAAACCACAACCAAGGGAAUGGGUUUGGCAGAAUCAACGGGGAAAGAAGAUCCUGUUGAGCAUGACUCUAGUCUAACUUUUUGAAAUGACUUAAAAGGUGUAGUAUAAGUGGGGACUCAAAGGCAAAAGUGGAAUACCACUACUUUUAAUCUUAUUUUACUUAUUUCGUAAAUCAAAAGUUGGGCACUGCCCCUCUUUUUGGAUCCAAGGAUCACUCUGCAAGCCAAUCAAGGUGGAAGAAAUUUCCAGGCGGGGAGUUUGGCUGGGGUUGCACAUAUAUUAAAAGAUAAUGCUGGUGUCCUCAGAUGAACUCAACGAGUAUAGAAAUAUCAUGUGGAAUAGAAGGGUAAAAACUCAUUUGAUUCUGAUUUCAAGUAUGAAUACGAACCAUGAAAGCAUGGCCUAACAAUAUUUUAGACCUUUAGAAUUUGAAGAUAGAGGUUUCAUAAAAGUUACCACAUGGAUAACUUGCUUGUGACAACCAAGCGUUCAUAGCGACAUUUCUUUUUUAUCCUUCCAUGUCGGCUCUUCCUAUCAUUGUAAAGUAAAAUUCACCAAGUGUUGGAUUGUUCACCCACCAAUAGUGAACAUGAGCUAGGUUUAGACCUUCUUGAGAUAGGUUAGUUUUACCCUACUGAUGUUUGUAUCACAAGAGUAAUUCAACCUAGUACGAGAGAAAUCGUUGAUUCACAUAAUUGGACAUCAAGUUUGGUUUAAAAUCCAGUCGCGUAAUGCUAUCAUCUGCUGGAUUAUGACUGUACGCCUCUAAGUUAGAAGCAACGUAUGCUUUGGCCAUCCUCUUGCUAAACCAAAGUAGGGGCCUCGGCCCUUAAGGGCAUAUGUCGUUGGCAAAGCCAUCACAGAGAAUAGGUUGUGGUGGCCACCUUGAAUUACAAUAUUCAACGGACGAUGGGUAGAAUUCUUUGCAGAAGACUUAAACACGUGACGGGGUAUUAUUAUUAUUAGAGUGGCCUUGUUGCCACGAUCCACUGAGAUUCAGCCUUUUAUCGUGCCAGUUCAU
RNAcentral lists this ribosomal RNA (3358 nucleotides) under Capsicum chinense (habanero). RNAcentral describes it as "bacterial LSU rRNA". It matches the Rfam family "Eukaryotic large subunit ribosomal RNA". Lineage: Eukaryota; Viridiplantae; Streptophyta; Magnoliopsida; Solanales; Solanaceae. The record is from RNAcentral.